Molecule: ribosomal RNA, 603 nt
Filed under: uncultured cyanobacterium
Lineage: Bacteria; Bacillati; Cyanobacteriota
Description: bacterial SSU rRNA
Rfam family: Bacterial small subunit ribosomal RNA
Source: RNAcentral
UGAGUUUGAUCAUGGCUCAGGAUGAACGCUGGCGGCGCGCUUAACACAUGCAAGUCGAACGAACCUUCGGGUUAGUGGCGGACGGGUGAGUAACGCGUGAGAAUCUGCCCUCAGGAGGGGGAUAACGGUUGGAAACGACCGCUAAUACCCCAUAUGCCUACUGGUGAAAUGAAUUUCGCCUGAGGAUGAGCUCGCGUCUGAUUAGCUAGUUGGUGGGGUAAUGGCUCACCAAGGCUUCGAUCAGUAGCUGGUCUGAGAGGAUGAUCAGCCACACUGGGACUGAGACACGGCCCAGACUCCUACGGGAGGCAGCAGUGGGGAAUUUUCCGCAAUGGGCGAAAGCCUGACGGAGCAACGCCGCGUGAGGGACGAAGGCCUCUGGGCUGUAAACCUCUUUUCUCAAGGAAGAAGAUAUGACGGUACUUGAGGAAUAAGCCACGGCUAAUUCCGUGCCAGCAGCCGCGGUAAUACGGGAGUGGCAAGCGUUAUCCGGAAUUAUUGGGCGUAAAGCGUCCGCAGGCGGCUUAUCAAGUCUGCUGUUAAAACGUGGAGCUUAACUCCAUCAUGGCAGUGGAAACUGAUAGGCUUGAGUAUGGUAGGGGC